RNAcentral lists this ribosomal RNA (601 nucleotides) under Clostridioides difficile. RNAcentral describes it as "partial 23S ribosomal RNA". It matches the Rfam family "Bacterial large subunit ribosomal RNA", at positions 2322 to 2925 of the family's 2925-position model. Lineage: Bacteria; Bacillati; Bacillota; Clostridia; Peptostreptococcales; Peptostreptococcaceae. The record is from RNAcentral.
UCAGUACGGUCGGAAAUCGUACGUAGAGUGUAAAGGCAAAAGAGAGCUUGAUUGCAAGACAUACAGGUCGAGCAAGGAUGAAAAUCGGACUUAGUGAUCCGGUGGUUCUGCGUGGAAGGGCCAUCGCUCAACGGAUAAAAGCUACCCUGGGGAUAACAGGCUUAUCUCCCCCAAGAGUCCACAUCGACGGGGAGGUUUGGCACCUCGAUGUCGGCUCAUCACAUCCUGGGGCUGUAGUAGGUCCCAAGGGUUGGGCUGUUCGCCCAUUAAAGUGGUACGCGAGCUGGGUUCAGAACGUCGUGAGACAGUUCGGUCCCUAUCCGUCGCAGGCGUAGGAAAUUUGAGAAGACCUGUCCUUAGUACGAGAGGACCGGGAUGGACGUACCUCUGGUGUACCAGUUGUUCUGCCAAGGGCAUGGCUGGGUAGCUAUGUACGGAAUGGAUAAGCGCUGAAAGCAUCUAAGCGCGAAGCCAACUUCAAGAUAAGAUUUCCCACCGCAGGGGUAAGACCCCAGAAAGACUAUCUGGUUGAUAGGUCGAAGGUGUAAGUGCAGCAAUGUAUUUAGCUUAUCGAUACUAAUAGGUCGAGGACUUGACCAAU